Long non-coding RNA from Mesocricetus auratus (golden hamster), 816 nucleotides. RefSeq lists it as uncharacterized. The record is from RefSeq and is a predicted model, not a curated record. The transcript is spliced from 6 exons. Lineage: Eukaryota; Metazoa; Chordata; Mammalia; Rodentia; Cricetidae.
GUUUUCCACUCUGCUUCCUGUCACCCCAUAAAACUAACCAAACCACGUAGGAUGAGAAGGUAGAUAAUCCAAAGGUCAACAAAUUCAGCUCUUCUGUCAUGCUGUGGUGCUUCCAUAGUCUCUAUCUACUGAUUGGAAAGCCUACCCCAUCCUGGUGCUACGCAAGGACAAACCACAUCACUUCAUGAUGUAUAUUUUCACCAUCUAUCAGGACUCUCCAGUUCCAGGUAUAUAAUCCUGGGGGGUGAGAAAAUGUGAAAAUAAAUCAUGGCCCAGCACAAAGCAAAGCUGAAUUUUAAGAACUUCUUUGUAGUUUCAAAGAGAGAAAAUUCCAAAAUAUUUUGGAGACAAAACAUUCCAGAAUUAUUAUCUUUUGAGUUUACUUUGAGAAACAAUUCAGAUGUCAAAAGGAGCCCUCGCAUCCAAGCAACACCUGAAGAAUCGUCCCUCCGCAGCUUCUCUCCCUAUUCCUCUCGCUUGUAGCUGAAGUUAAUGACUUCUAUCAGAAGGCAGUGGAAAAGGACUCAGUUUUGCUUAAGGGGCUGGCCCCUGGGAGUCUGACCAUGCUCCGGACACCAGCUUUGUGGGUUUGUAAACUCCUUUUUUUUUCCUGGGAGACCAUCGGGAACCUAUGAGUGAGUGGACUGAGGGGGAGGAACCCAACAGUCUAGUUCCCCUAUUGCAAAGCUGGAGAACUGAUGGCUUUGAUAAAGGAGCUACUUUUUGUAUUAUUUCCUCAAGUUUAUAAUAUUCCACUAAUGUUAAGACAAAAAUCCUUUCUGGGACUCAAUUCUAAAUUUGGUUUCUUGUAAAAAA